GAGGGUAUAGCUCUGUGGUAGAGUGUGUGCUUAGCAUGCACAAGGUCCUGGGUUCAAUCCCCAGUGCUUCCA
Molecule: transfer RNA, 72 nt
Filed under: Camelus bactrianus (Bactrian camel)
Lineage: Eukaryota; Metazoa; Chordata; Mammalia; Artiodactyla; Camelidae
Also listed under: 2 other names
Rfam family: tRNA
About the family: Transfer RNA (tRNA) molecules are approximately 80 nucleotides in length.
Source: Rfam by way of RNAcentral